Molecule: long non-coding RNA, 2462 nt
Organism: Acanthopagrus latus (yellowfin seabream)
Lineage: Eukaryota; Metazoa; Chordata; Actinopteri; Spariformes; Sparidae
Exons: 3
Source: RefSeq, a predicted model, not a curated record
UCACACUGCCUGUCACUGCCUGUCACCAGAAGUACCAAAAUAAAGGCUUAUUGAUGUGAACAAGUGCUAUUCACAGUCUUCUUCGGGUACUCAGAUGGCGUGAUUGUGCUGCACUGAGCGGACAGGGAAAAGAACAGAAUUGAGCAUUUCUAACUCGGUAAUCUCGGUAAUGGACUCGCAGGGACUUCCCCACAACAGGAAGCUGCGGCAGGAGUGUAACAAGUGACGCUGGCGGGCAGUGGAGGCGGGCAUCGGUGUGGUGAUCGAGGCAGACGCAGAGACGAGGAAAAGCAGAGAGUGCGAGGAUGUAAAGGAGAGAAAGUCAAAGCAGUAAGAAAAACAGACGCUCUCACCUGGAGAAAUAAGGAUGUCAACAGGCACAUCCGGGAAGAAGUGGGUGGAAAAACUUGUCAGAGAGAGCUCACCAAACAAGAGAAGGAUGUCCUUGCCAAAAAGCUACAAUCGAAGGUAUCAGCCACUCUUGCCAAUGUAAAAGCCACCCUCUCUAACCUCACUACUGUGGAUAGGAAGGCCCUGGCAUCACUCAAAAGAGACCGGAACAUCACCAUCUCACCUAUGAGACUCGGAGGCGAGAUCCUACCAGUAGCUACAAAAAGAAGGUUAUCGAAUAUCUACAAAAACUAGACGGGAGCAAAACCAUUUACAGGCCAUUAUGUUACAGACUCUGCCACGGGGAAGCCAUCCCAAGUAUCUAUGGACUCCUGAAAGAUACACAAGGAAGGAGCACCACUCAGACCCAUCAGCAGCAGCAUCAACUCAGUCCAGUGAGGAGGACAAAGCCUCUGUAAAUGGGACGCCCGCUUUACCAACUGAGCUAAAUGGCACCCAAAAAAACUGGGUGUUUUUAAGGGGACCUAGAGAGACCUCCAGCUGUGCCAAAACAUGACCUAACCCAAACCAAGUGGUUUUGUUCCCUAAACCUAACCGGAGCACAAGUAUAGCGUUGUCACUUGAUAAAAUAGAGAAGUAUUUUUGUGUUUUUGUGUGUUUCAGCAUAAACAAGUUUUGACAUAUCUCUAAUGUACAGAGAUGCACAUGGAGAUUGGAUUCUACAAAGAUAACAAUAUUUUUAACCUUAGAAUAUUUAAACCCACCCACUGUCAGUGCUACAGUGUAGCUUUAUCUCUCUGCAUUGGCUUUUUACUGGAUGAAUACUGAUAGAUACUUGACAGAGUGGUUAGUGCAGCAGUGAUGAAAUCACAGUAAAGUAAAAGACAAAAGGCAUCGCUGAUCACAUUGUGUUUAUACAGUAACUGCCCCUCUAGACAACGUCUUUCGGUCAACAGGUUUAGCAGGUUUAAAGAUAAACUGAUGAACAGGUCUCUAUGCAAAAACACACAAGCAUGCGCAGAAUGUGUUCCCUCCUGGGGUUCUUCCGAGCCCUCAUGUAAUCAUCGUGCUGCGAGAGAGAUCAAGGGUGGCAACAUCAGUGUAUUCUGGCCGCAUUAAAAUGGAGCAAGCGUGCUGAUUUGGAGGAAUAGCCAUCUAAUUACCGUGCAGGAUCAGAGAAAUAAUGAGUGCAAGAGCUGGAACGCAGCAGUUGGGAGAAAUAGAUGCUGAGGCCUCUAAUGUUCAUAGUCUGAGUCUGAGUUAAACAGCAAUCUAAUGAGCUAUAGAAGGUGUUUAAAAUGAAACGCCGGAAUGUAUCUUCUCAGUGUGUCUCCAUCCUCAAGUUCAAAUACCUUUGACUGUUUCAGAUUGCUUAAGACGGCAUUAGGAAAACAUGCCGCGAUCUAUUUUGGUGCCACAGACUAUAGUACUGUUGUUAAAACUUAAAACCUCCCACGUGGUGCAAACAAUGUAAUCCUUUUAAUUGCUACCAGUCAAGCCAGAGAGCAGGCCCACACUGGGAUCCGGCGCUGGCAGAGCACUGUUGCCAAGGUGCAGCUCCAGUCCAAACUUAAAGCGGCAUGAUUGAUCGUGUAAAUGCCGCGUUACUUGAAGGACUGCAAACAGCGGGGAAGAGCACCACUGUGCAAAUAAGCAGUCCUCCUCAGCUCUGAUGUGUUCACAUCGACAUCACGCAGUUUACACUGUGCACAGCACAAAUUGUUCCCAGUUUUGAACGUAAUCACGUCCCAGCUGCCCUAAUAAUCACAUGCGCACCCACGGGAUGCGAUCUUCCUCUUCCUCCCCUCGCCUCUUUUCACUUUUUGCUGUUUCGCUGAAGCCUGGAAAUAAGUUCAAAUAUAGAAGGGGAGGGAGAGGGGGAGGACUGAGUCAUCACGAUUAACUGGACGUGUGUGUUUGUUUUCCACGUAUUAUGUCAAGCCCUUUUUCUGUCUUCACCUGUGUCCUGUUACUUAAUAUAGUCUGUGUGCUCCCUGCUGUUGUUGUCACUCCAUCUGUUUUGUUCCCCUUUCUUCAUAUCCCUUCUCCCAUGUUUUUUUUUUUAUUUUUUUCUUUUAUUCCUCGUGUUUUUCCUGGAUGGUACUUUGCAU